This 658-nucleotide ribosomal RNA is filed under the name Streptomyces sp. Its description in RNAcentral is "bacterial SSU rRNA". It matches the Rfam family "Bacterial small subunit ribosomal RNA", at positions 55 to 730 of the family's 1533-position model. The record is from RNAcentral. Lineage: Bacteria; Bacillati; Actinomycetota; Actinomycetes; Kitasatosporales; Streptomycetaceae.
AUGCAAGUCGAACGAUGAAGCCCUUCGGGGUGGAUUAGUGGCGAACGGGUGAGUAACACGUGGGCAAUCUGCCCUUCACUCUGGGACAAGCCCUGGAAACGGGGUCUAAUACCGGAUAACACUCCUCAGGGCAUCUUGAGGGGUUAAAAGCUCCGGCGGUGAAGGAUGAGCCCGCGGCCUAUCAGCUUGUUGGUGGGGUAAUGGCCUACCAAGGCGACGACGGGUAGCCGGCCUGAGAGGGCGACCGGCCACACUGGGACUGAGACACGGCCCAGACUCCUACGGGAGGCAGCAGUGGGGAAUAUUGCACAAUGGGCGAAAGCCUGAUGCAGCGACGCCGCGUGAGGGAUGACGGCCUUCGGGUUGUAAACCUCUUUCAGCAGGGAAGAAGCGCAAGUGACGGUACCUGCAGAAGAAGCGCCGGCUAACUACGUGCCAGCAGCCGCGGUAAUACGUAGGGCGCAAGCGUUGUCCGGAAUUAUUGGGCGUAAAGAGCUCGUAGGCGGCUUGUCACGUCGGAUGUGAAAGCCCGGGGCUUAACCCCGGGUCUGCAUUCGAUACGGGCUAGCUAGAGUGUGGUAGGGGAGAUCGGAAUUCCUGGUGUAGCGGUGAAAUGCGCAGAUAUCAGGAGGAACACCGGUGGCGAAGGCGGAUCUCU